Molecule: ribosomal RNA, 1198 nt
Filed under: Escherichia coli
Lineage: Bacteria; Pseudomonadati; Pseudomonadota; Gammaproteobacteria; Enterobacterales; Enterobacteriaceae
Description: partial 23S ribosomal RNA
Rfam family: Bacterial large subunit ribosomal RNA
Source: RNAcentral
GGUUAAGCGACUAAGCGUACACGGUGGAUGCCCUGGCAGUCAGAGGCGAUGAAGGACGUGCUAAUCUGCGAUAAGCGUCGGUAAGGUGAUAUGAACCGUUAUAACCGGCGAUUUCCGAAUGGGGAAACCCAGUGUGUUUCGACACACUAUCAUUAACUGAAUCCAUAGGUUAAUGAGGCGAACCGGGGGAACUGAAACAUCUAAGUACCCCGAGGAAAAGAAAUCAACCGAGAUUCCCCCAGUAGCGGCGAGCGAACGGGGAGGAGCCCAGAGCCUGAAUCAGUGUGUGUGUUAGUGGAAGCGUCUGGAAAGGCGCGCGAUACAGGGUGACAGCCCCGUACACAAAAAUGCACAUGCUGUGAGCUCGAUGAGUAGGGCGGGACACGUGGUAUCCUGUCUGAAUAUGGGGGGACCAUCCUCCAAGGCUAAAUACUCCUGACUGACCGAUAGUGAACCAGUACCGUGAGGGAAAGGCGAAAAGAACCCCGGCGAGGGGAGUGAAAAAGAACCUGAAACCGUGUACGUACAAGCAGUGGGAGCACGCUUAGGCGUGUGACUGCGUACCUUUUGUAUAAUGGGUCAGCGACUUAUAUUCUGUAGCAAGGUUAACCGAAUAGGGGAGCCGAAGGGAAACCGAGUCUUAACUGGGCGUUAAGUUGCAGGGUAUAGACCCGAAACCCGGUGAUCUAGCCAUGGGCAGGUUGAAGGUUGGGUAACACUAACUGGAGGACCGAACCGACUAAUGUUGAAAAAUUAGCGGAUGACUUGUGGCUGGGGGUGAAAGGCCAAUCAAACCGGGAGAUAGCUGGUUCUCCCCGAAAGCUAUUUAGGUAGCGCCUCGUGAACUCAUCUCCGGGGGUAGAGCACUGUUUCGGCAAGGGGGUCAUCCCGACUUACCAACCCGAUGCAAACUGCGAAUACCGGAGAAUGUUAUCACGGGAGACACACGGCGGGUGCUAACGUCCGUCGUGAAGAGGGAAACAACCCAGACCGCCAGCUAAGGUCCCAAAGUCAUGGUUAAGUGGGAAACGAUGUGGGAAGGCCCAGACAGCCAGGAUGUUGGCUUAGAAGCAGCCAUCAUUUAAAGAAAGCGUAAUAGCUCACUGGUCGAGUCGGCCUGCGCGGAAGAUGUAACGGGGCUAAACCAUGCACCGAAGCUGCGGCAGCGACGCUUAUGCGUUGUUGGGUAGGGGAGCGU